RNAcentral lists this transfer RNA (87 nucleotides) under Clostridium sp. RNAcentral's name for it is "tRNA-Leu". It matches the Rfam family "tRNA". From Rfam's summary of the family: Transfer RNA (tRNA) molecules are approximately 80 nucleotides in length. Their secondary structure includes four short double-helical elements and three loops (D, anti-codon, and T loops). The record is from RNAcentral. Lineage: Bacteria; Bacillati; Bacillota; Clostridia; Eubacteriales; Clostridiaceae.
GCCUAGUUGAUGAAAUUGGUAGACAUUUGGGACUUAAAAUCCCAUGGAAGUAAUUCCAUGUCGGUUCGACUCCGACACUAGGUACCA